RNAcentral lists this ribosomal RNA (305 nucleotides) under uncultured bacterium. Its description in RNAcentral is "partial 16S ribosomal RNA". It matches the Rfam family "Bacterial small subunit ribosomal RNA", at positions 505 to 807 of the family's 1533-position model. The record is from RNAcentral.
ACAGCAGCAGCCACGGGAAUACGUAGGGUGCAAGCGUUAAUCGGAAUUACUGGGCGUAAAGCGUGCGCAGGCGGUUAUAUAAGACAGAUGUGAAAUCCCCGGGCUCAACCUGGGAACUGCAUUUGUGACUGUAUAGCUAGAGUACGGCAGAGGGGGAUGGAAUUCCGCGUGUAGCAGUGAAAUGCGUAGAUAUGCGGAGGAACACCGAUGGCGAAGGCAAUCCCCUGGGCCUGUACUGACGCUCAUGCACGAAAGCGUGGGGAGCAAACAGGAUUAGAGACCCCAGUAGUCCCUGUCUCUUAUAC